GAUGAACGCUGGCGGCGUGCCUAAUACAUGCAAGUCGAGCGAACGGACGAGAAGCUUGCUUCUCUGAUGUUAGCGGCGGACGGGUGAGUAACACGUGGAUAACCUACCUAUAAGACUGGGAUAACUUCGGGAAACCGUAGCUAAUACCGGAUAAUAUUUUGAACCUCAUGGUUCAAAAGUGAAAGACGGUCUUUCUGUCACUUAUAGAUGGAUCCGCGCUGCAUUAGCUAGUUGGUAAGGUAACGGCUUACCAAGGCAACGAUGCAUAGCCGACCUGAGAGGGUGAUCGGACACCCUGGAACUGAGACACGGUCCAGACUCCUACGGGAGGCAGCAGUAGGGAAUCUUCCGCGAUGCGCGAAAGCCUGACGGAGCAACGCCGCGUGAGUGCUGAAGGUCUUCGGAUCGUAAAGCUCUGUUAUUAGGGAAGAACAUAUGUGUAAGUACCUGUGCACAUCUUGACGGUACCUAAUCAGAAAGCCACGGCUAACUACGUG
Molecule: ribosomal RNA, 497 nt
Filed under: uncultured bacterium
Lineage: Bacteria
Description: partial 16S ribosomal RNA
Rfam family: Bacterial small subunit ribosomal RNA
Source: RNAcentral